AUUGAACGCUGGCGGCAGGCUUAACACAUGCAAGUCGAGCGGGGGAAGGUAGCUUGCUACCGGACCUAGCGGCGGACGGGUGAGUAAUGCUUAGGAAUCUGCCUAUUAGUGGGGGACAACGUCUCGAAAGGGAUGCUAAUACCGCAUACGUCCUACGGGAGAAAGCAGGGGAUCUUCGGACCUUGCGCUAAUAGAUGAGCCUAAGUCGGAUUAGCUAGUUGGUGGGGUAAAGGCCUACCAAGGCGACGAUCUGUGGCGGGUCUGAGAGGAUGAUCCGCCACACUGGGACUGAGACACGGCCCAGACUCCUACGGGAGGCAGCAGUGGGGAAUAUUGGACAAUGGGGGGAACCCUGAUCCAGCCAUGCCGCGUGUGUGAAGAAGGCCUUAUGGUUGUAAAGCACUUUAAGCGAGGAGGAGGCUACUUUAGUUAAUACCUAGAGAUAGUGGACGUUACUCGCAGAAUAAGCACCGGCUAACUCUGUGCCAGCAGCCGCCGUAA
RNAcentral lists this ribosomal RNA (501 nucleotides) under uncultured bacterium. RNAcentral's name for it is "partial 16S ribosomal RNA". It matches the Rfam family "Bacterial small subunit ribosomal RNA", at positions 30 to 523 of the family's 1533-position model. The record is from RNAcentral.